Molecule: ribosomal RNA, 222 nt
Filed under: uncultured bacterium
Lineage: Bacteria
Description: partial 16S ribosomal RNA
Rfam family: Bacterial small subunit ribosomal RNA
Source: RNAcentral
CCUGCCUCUGAGUGGGGGAUAACGUCUCGAAAGGGACGCUAAUACCGCAUGACAUCCCGCCUUUGAACAGGUGGAGAUCAAAGCUGGGGAUCGCAAGACCUAGCGCUUGAAGAGGGGCCCGCGUCUGAUUAGCUAGUUGGUGAGGUAACGGCUCACCAAGGCUACGAUCAGUAUCCGGCCUGAGAGGGCGGACGGACACACUGGGACUGAGACACGGCCCAG